AACGAACGCUGGCGGCAUGCCUAACACAUGCAAGUCGAACGAGACCUUCGGGUCUAGUGGCGCACGGGUGCGUAACGCGUGGGAACCUGCCCUUAGGUUCGGAAUAACUCCCCGAAAGGGGUGCUCAUACCGGAUAAUGUCUUCGGACCAAAGAUUUAUCGCCUGUGGAUGGGCCCGCGUUGGAUUAGCUAGUUGGUAGGGUAAAAGCCUACCAAGGCGACGAUCCAUAGCUGGUCUGAGAGGAUGAUCAGCCACACUGGGACUGAGACACGGCCCAGACUCCUACGGGAGGCAGCAGUGGGGAAUAUUGGACAAUGGGCGAAAGCCUGAUCCAGCAAUGCCGCGUGAGUGAUGAAGGCCUUAGGGUUGUAAAGCUCUUUUACCCGGGAUGAUAAUGACAGUACCGGGAGAAUAAGCUCCGGCUAACUCCGUG
This 433-nucleotide ribosomal RNA is filed under the name uncultured bacterium. RNAcentral's name for it is "partial 16S ribosomal RNA". It matches the Rfam family "Bacterial small subunit ribosomal RNA", at positions 29 to 507 of the family's 1533-position model. The record is from RNAcentral.